CAAUAGCGUAUAUUUAAGUUGUUGCAGUUAAAAAGCUCGUAGUUGGAUUUCGGGUGGGACGCAGCGGUCUCGCAUUGCGUUUGUACUGCUGCAGCCCUCCUUCUUGCCGGGGGCGGCCUCUCGGACUUCACUGUCUGGUGGUCAGAAUCGGCGAUGUUACUUUGAGUAAAUUAGAGUGUUCAAAGCAAGCUUACGCUCUGAAUAUAAUAGCAUGGGAUAACACGACAGGACUCUGGCCUAUCGUGUUGGUCUAUAGGACCAGAGUAAUGAUUAAGAGGGACAGUCGGGGGCAUUCGUAUUCCGUUGUCAGAGGUGAAAUUCUUGGAUUUACGGAAGACGAACAUCUGCGAAAGCAUUUGCCAAGGAUGUUUUCAUUGA
RNAcentral lists this ribosomal RNA (378 nucleotides) under uncultured eukaryote. Its description in RNAcentral is "partial 18S ribosomal RNA". It matches the Rfam family "Eukaryotic small subunit ribosomal RNA", at positions 592 to 976 of the family's 1831-position model. The record is from RNAcentral.